UUCCAUUUCUGCUACCCUUAUCUACAUUCCUUGCAGUCAAACUUAUUGGGAUAUCUUGAGCAUUUGUAAACUAAACAAAGGAUUUCCUGGUGUAUUGGCUGGAGUAACUGUUUUUGAUGGAACAGUUGGUGUAUGCCAUGUUGGAGGUGCUUGAGUAUGUGCAAGUUGUGGUGUAAGUUGUGAUGUUAUAUGAGAUGCUCUUGCCAUAGAUGGAUGUGUGUAAAAUCCUGCCGGAC
RNAcentral lists this unclassified non-coding RNA (236 nucleotides) under Bombus terrestris (buff-tailed bumblebee). RNAcentral's name for it is "misc RNA ENSBTSG00005030742.1". Lineage: Eukaryota; Metazoa; Arthropoda; Insecta; Hymenoptera; Apidae. The record is from RNAcentral.